CAGUACUACAGCUGGGUAGCUAUGUGCGGAAGGGAUAAACGCUGAAAGCAUCUAAGCGUGAAGCCCCCCUUAAGAUGAGAUUUCCCAAUUAGUAAGACCCCUCAAAGACUAUGAGGUUGAUAGGCCAGGUGUGUAAGUACAGCGAUGUAUUCAGCUUACUGGUACUAAUAGGUCGAGGACUUAACCUUU
RNAcentral lists this ribosomal RNA (189 nucleotides) under Acholeplasma laidlawii. RNAcentral describes it as "23S rRNA". It matches the Rfam family "Bacterial large subunit ribosomal RNA", at positions 2730 to 2925 of the family's 2925-position model. Lineage: Bacteria; Bacillati; Mycoplasmatota; Mollicutes; Acholeplasmatales; Acholeplasmataceae. The record is from RNAcentral.